AACUAAAGCUAGGGGUGCCUGAGCAACCAGGCUGAGAUUACACCCUGAGAACCUGAGACUGGUUAAGACCAGCGGAGGGAAGCGGUUUAUUAAUAAG
This 97-nucleotide non-coding RNA is filed under the name Coleofasciculus chthonoplastes. RNAcentral describes it as "Microcoleus chthonoplastes TPP sequence". It matches the Rfam family "TPP riboswitch aptamer (THI element)". From Rfam's summary of the family: Vitamin B(1) in its active form thiamin pyrophosphate (TPP) is an essential coenzyme that is synthesised by coupling of pyrimidine and thiazole moieties in bacteria. The previously detected thiamin-regulatory element, thi box was extended, resulting in a new, highly conserved RNA secondary structure, the THI element, which is widely distributed in eubacteria and also occurs in some archaea. RNAcentral also lists the same sequence under 1 other name. The record is from RNAcentral. Lineage: Bacteria; Bacillati; Cyanobacteriota; Cyanophyceae; Coleofasciculales; Coleofasciculaceae.